Cyprinus carpio carpio is the source of this 1484-nucleotide long non-coding RNA. NCBI's taxonomy places the organism in Eukaryota, Metazoa, Chordata, Actinopteri, Cypriniformes, Cyprinidae. The record is from Ensembl.
GUCAUCUAAUAAUACACAUAUUGCUCAAUUGUUUGGUUCUACAUUUUAUUUAAUCAAACAUUUAAACAUGCAUACAUUAAAUAUUAUGGUAGCACUACUUGUAUUAGAUUAAUACAAUAAUAGAUUAAUAGAUUGUGCUUGUAUUGUUUUUUUGCAAGCUACUUAAAAUAGAACAUCUGCUAAGUGAGUGUCAGUAAAACUAUACUGCGAGCUAAAACAAAAAAAUAUUUCCAAGAUUUCCAGCAAAAGGGCUGUAGACGGGUGGAUGGUGAAAAGUGGGUGUAUUCAAUUACAUUUAGGACUCAGUUGGAAAAAAAAAGGUUUUCUUUGGAGUAACAUGCAAUGACUAAUUGUACACAAUUAAACCAGGAACGUGUAUUAAAAGUAAAAAAAGCUUUGUGACAUCGUGAUAUUUAAAAAUGAGAUUCAUUCUCUCGCUAAGUAGGCCUUUUUAUAUCACUGUCUUCAUCCAGCCAUAUUAAUAUGGUGGAGAAAACGCAAGAGUUUUUCCAGGGAACGCAAACGUUUCGCAAGAGAACACCAAAGCUUAGAAUUUUUUUUUCUUCCCAUCCCGUAUUUUUUCCACCACCAUGUUUUUUAGGGGCUUCAUAAAACUUUUGAGCUCCCCGAGAAACUUUGCGUUUAGGGCCAAGGAAUAAUAAAAUAAAUCAAACCAUCUCAAGAUUAAAGUCAUUAUUAUGCAAGAUUAAACUUGUUAAAUUUCAAGAAACUCAUUAAAUUAUGAGAAAAAGUUGUGUUUCCAGAAAACUGGCUAUUACUUUAGUAUCGUUGAUGGUUGUGCCUCCUUCCAUAGAAUGAAACAAAUGAACUCUCUGUACAGCAAUUAAUGGAAAUGUCAUGAGGUUUUAGUUUAGGUCAGCAGCAAUUGAAAUUAUUGAUACAGUAUAUUCUAUUUACACACUGACAGCAGCAUUUUUUAGCGAUGUGUUACACUAAGUGAAAAUAGUGAUUCUAUUUACUCUAUGUAAAAGUAGCAGCUAUUUGCAAUAAGUGUAAAAAGUAAUUAGAUGCUGUUUAUACUUAUAAAUAGUGACAGAUACCAGAUUCUAUUUGCACCUCAGUACUGUUGUACAUUAACAGUUUAUUCUCAACAUUUUAUUUAGACUUUUUUUACUCAAAUUUUUUUGUAUUUUUUUUUUAUUUUUAUUUUUUAUUUUUUUUCUCGAAAUGCAAAUACUUCAUUCUUGGAAUUUUGAGUUUAUUCUCAACAUUUUAUUUGGACUUUUUUCCCCGAAACUUAACGUUGAAUUUUUCCUCAAAACACAAUGACUUUAUUCUCAAAAUUUUUUUUAUUUUCAACAUUUUAUUUCAACUUUUUUACUCAAUGUAUUGUUUUUUUCUCUCGAAGAUCAAAGACUUUAUUCUCGAAAUUUUGAGUUUAUUCUUAACAUUUUAUUUGGACUUUUUUCCUCGAAACAACAUUUAUUUUUUCUCGAAACGCAAAGACUUUAUUCUCGAAAUUU